GAUAUAUUCAGCUUAAGAUUUCUGCCUUCAGGACAAGCAGACUUGGACAGCCCAUUGUGACACAGAGGCCCACUGGAGGUUCACCGCUGUGUCAGCAACUCUUGUCAGGCCUGGCAUAUUCCGUGCACCCCAACACACAGUAGCAUGACAAAAUGUGGCAUGUAAUAUAGCAUUGGAAAAU
This 181-nucleotide long non-coding RNA is filed under the name Chrysemys picta bellii (western painted turtle). RNAcentral's name for it is "lncRNA (ENSCPBG00000019333.1)". Lineage: Eukaryota; Metazoa; Chordata; Testudines; Emydidae. The record is from RNAcentral.